RNAcentral lists this long non-coding RNA (233 nucleotides) under Elaeis guineensis (African oil palm). Its description in RNAcentral is "long non-coding RNA (EGUI_LNC053143)". Lineage: Eukaryota; Viridiplantae; Streptophyta; Magnoliopsida; Arecales; Arecaceae. The record is from RNAcentral.
UUCUUUCACGAGAGUACUAGCUCCGUCGAAGGCUUUGGAUGGCUAAUCCAAGCUCCUUUCUUCAGAUCUCCUGAACUUAUCUGGAUCAAAAGAUGAAGCUUUAUGAGGAGAUGGUGGUGUAGAAGAUUGGACAAGACUCACUCUUGUAUUUUCUUCUCACAAAACCCAGAGUUGAAAUCCUAGAACCCACAGCUCAUGCCUGAGAGGAAGAACACUUCCUCUGUUUCUCACAC